RNAcentral lists this ribosomal RNA (384 nucleotides) under uncultured bacterium. Its description in RNAcentral is "bacterial SSU rRNA". It matches the Rfam family "Bacterial small subunit ribosomal RNA", at positions 30 to 418 of the family's 1533-position model. The record is from RNAcentral.
AUUGAACGCUGGCGGCAUGCCUUACACAUGCAAGUCGAACGGCAGCACGGGAGCAAUCCUGGUGGCGAGUGGCGAACGGGUGAGUAAUAUAUCGGAACGUGCCCAGUCGUGGGGAUAACGUAGCGAAAGCUACGCUAAUACCGCAUACGAUCUAUGGAUGAAAGCGGGGGAUCGCAAGACCUCGCGCGAUUGGAGCGGCCGAUAUCAGAUUAGGUAGUUGGUGAGGUAAAGGCUCGCCAAGCCGACGAUCUGUAGCUGGUCUGAGAGGACGACCAGCCACACUGGGACUGAGACACGGCCCAGACUCCUACGGAGGCAGCAGUGGGAAUUUUGGACAAUGGGCGCAAGCCUGAUCAGCAAUGCCGCGUGCAGGAUGAAGGCCUU